RNAcentral lists this ribosomal RNA (253 nucleotides) under uncultured bacterium. RNAcentral's name for it is "partial 16S ribosomal RNA". It matches the Rfam family "Bacterial small subunit ribosomal RNA", at positions 524 to 776 of the family's 1533-position model. The record is from RNAcentral.
UACGAAGGGGGCUAGCGUUGCUCGGAAUUACUGGGCGUAAAGGGCGCGUAGGCGGAUGUUUAAGUCGGGGGUGAAAGCCCAGGGCUCAACCCUGGAAUUGCCUUCGAUACUGGACAUCUUGAGUGCGGGAGAGGUGAGUGGAACUCCGAGUGUAGAGGUGAAAUUCGUAGAUAUUCGGAAGAACACCAGUGGCGAAGGCGACUCACUGGCCCGUUACUGACGCUGACGCGCGAAAGCGUGGGGAGCGAACAGG